Molecule: ribosomal RNA, 255 nt
Filed under: uncultured bacterium
Lineage: Bacteria
Description: partial 16S ribosomal RNA
Rfam family: Bacterial small subunit ribosomal RNA
Source: RNAcentral
UACAGAGGUCUCGAGCGUUGUUCGGAUUCAUUGGGCGUAAAGGGUGCGUAGGUGGCGUGGUAAGUCCGUUGUGAAAUCCCCUGGGCUCAACCUGGGAAUGGCAGUGGAUACUGGACGGCUAGAAUGCGGUAGAGGGUAGUGGAAUUCCCCGGUGUAGCAGUGAAAUGCGUAGAGAUCGGGAGGAACACCAGUGGCGAAGGCGGCUACCUGGACCAGCAUUGACACUCAAGCACGAAAGCGUGGGGAGCAAACAGG